Molecule: ribosomal RNA, 404 nt
Filed under: uncultured bacterium
Lineage: Bacteria
Description: bacterial SSU rRNA
Rfam family: Bacterial small subunit ribosomal RNA
Source: RNAcentral
GCACUUUAAGCAGUGAAGAAGACUCUUCGGUUAAUACCCGGAGACGAUGACAUUAGCUGCAGAAUAAGCACCGGCUAACUCUGUGCCAGCAGCCGCGGUAAUACAGAGGGUGCAAGCGUUAAUCGGAAUUACUGGGCGUAAAGCGAGCGUAGGUGGCUUGAUAAGUCAGAUGUGAAAUCCCCGGGCUUAACCUGGGAACUGCAUCUGAAACUGUCAGGCUAGAGUAGGUGAGAGGAAGGUAGAAUUCCAGGUGUAGCGGUGAAAUGCGUAGAGAUCUGGAGGAAUACCGAUGGCGAAGGCAGCCUUCUGGCAUCAUACUGACACUGAGGCUCGAAAGCGUGGGUAGCAAACAGGAUUAGAUACCCUGGUAGUCCACGCCGUAAACGAUGUCUACUAGUCGUUGG